This 1593-nucleotide ribosomal RNA is filed under the name Triticum aestivum (bread wheat). Its description in RNAcentral is "partial small subunit ribosomal RNA". Lineage: Eukaryota; Viridiplantae; Streptophyta; Magnoliopsida; Poales; Poaceae. The record is from RNAcentral.
AUGGCCGCCGACCGUCUCUCCGCUCUCCCCGACGAUUUGCUGCAGCACAUCCUAUCAUUCGCGCCCGAGCGGGAGGCCGCUGCCAGCGCCGUCCUCUCGCGCCGAUGGCGCACUCUGUGGCGCCGAGAGAGCGCCCUCGACCUGGACAUCAGGCCCUACAUGGCCGCCGACGAGGGUCAAGACCUCCGCAACAGCCCUUCGCCGCUGGACGCCCUCUUGAGCGACGCCGUCGCCGCACUCGCCGCCUUCCCCCGACGCGGCGGCGGCACGGUCCUCAAGAGGCUCACGCUCUUCCUGGACUUAAACGACGUCGACAGCUCGUAUGACAGUGUGGACGACCCCGAACCUGUAGACGACGGCAGGGUCGCCGGCCUCCUCGCUGACCCCGCAGCGGCCGGACUGGAAGAGGUCCUCAUCGGCUGCGAGCACGGCCGUAUGCGGACGACGACCUAUGGCCUGCCGCUGGCCUCCAUGGCGUGCGCCGCCACGCUCCGUGUGCUUGAGCUCGAGAGCUGCAACUUCGAGCCGCCGUUGUCCCCGCGCCGGGCUUUCCCGUGCCUGACGGAGCUGCGGCUGCGCCACUGCUUUUUCAAGGAAGGGUGUCUCCAGGCCAUGGUCGACGCCGCGCCGGCGCUCACCAGCCUGUCACUGGACAGAGUCUCUCAACAGCCGCCGGAUUCAGCCUUCCAGGCCAUGCCGGCCUAUUGCUGGGUGCCCUUCCGGCUCCGCUGCUUGACAGCCACCACCCUGGAGCUAAAGACCUACUCCGUGGGCGCUGAGGAGGAGGACCUCGCCCGCAUCGGCAUCGAGCUCGACAUGCCGAGCCUGCGUUACUUCCGCUACACGGGGGACGCCAUCAAGCUGUCGUUGGCAUCGCCGGCGCCGGGUCUGUCAAGCGUCGACCUGAACGCCAGUCUCCGCGGAGAGCAGUCGCAGUGGGAGCCCACGUCACGUAUGCUCGUAAGCUUCUCCAGCACAAGGGCCUUGAAGCUGCACGUCAACUGCAUGAACGACAUCAUCUACGGCGAGGAGGAGCACGGCGGGGCCAUCCUGCCAACCUUCCCGAACCUCAAGCUCCUCGAACUAGACGAAUUCUUCGAGUACACGAGCAGCAGCGCCGCGUUGGCAAUGGCGAGGCUGCUCCGCUCCUGCCCGGUCAUGUCCGAGCUCCGGCUCAACUUGAACAUGACGCGGUGGUACCGCGACGACGAGCCCAAGACCAAUGAUCCGGCCAGAAGCCCCUUCGCCCAAUCCAUGGACCGAUUCAACAGGCUCGCAUCCAUGACUGCUUCCUCGCGUCGGGUCUCGGAGCUCCCCGCGGUCUUGACAGACGACGGCGCGUUCACCUGCUUGCAGACGAGUCUGCGGAAGGUGACGCUGCAGUUCAAUGCCAAUGAGUUGGACUGCUUCCAGGUCCAGCUCGCCAAGUUCCUGGUGGAGAACGCCAUGGUUCUCGAGGAGAUGCACGUCGACGACGGGAACACGUUCUGGCUGGACCACCUCUGCAACAAGCUCGAAAGAUGGAGAGCUGAUUCGUUCCGCAGGAGGAACCUGACGGACACGGCCCGCUUUCGGGUGCACCACCUAGAAUAG